AUAGCAUAAUAUAUGUUAAACAAUAGUUGAAUUCAUAAAAUUUAUUUUCUUUUUUUUAUAUAAAAAAAUAACAUUUAAAAUAAUUCACAUAAUUAAUUUUAAUUGCUCUAAAUAUCGUUUGCAUGUAAUAAAAGAGUAGACGUAAAUGUUGCAAUAAUAAUAAAAAUAAAGCAUACAUUUUAGUUCAAUAGUGAUCUGAUGGAUGAGCCCUCUCUGUUGUAUUCAAAAUAAUUAUGAACUUACAAUUCUAAAAAUAUGUUCAAUCUGUGU
This 270-nucleotide unclassified non-coding RNA is filed under the name Hevea brasiliensis (rubber tree). Lineage: Eukaryota; Viridiplantae; Streptophyta; Magnoliopsida; Malpighiales; Euphorbiaceae. The record is from RNAcentral.